UUGGAAGCUCAAGCGGAAGGCUGUUUACUUAUGUUCUCUUAUAUGAAUCUCUUAUCUCCCGCUAUCAGGGAUCCUAUUUGUGUACCAACCUAAGACAUGCUUAUCAGGCUUUAUGUAUUAAUAAUUGAAAUUGAAGGCCCACGCUGCUAA
Molecule: ribosomal RNA, 150 nt
Filed under: Triticum aestivum (bread wheat)
Lineage: Eukaryota; Viridiplantae; Streptophyta; Magnoliopsida; Poales; Poaceae
Description: partial small subunit ribosomal RNA
Source: RNAcentral